AGCAGUAGCCACGGUAAUACGAAGGGGGCUAGCGUUGUUCGGAUUUACUGGGCGUAAAGCGCACGUAGGCGGAUCCUUAAGUCAGAGGUGAAAUCCCAAGGCUCAACCUUGGAACUGCCUUUGAUACUGGGGAUCUCGAGUUCGGGAGAGGUGAGUGGAACUGCGAGUGUAGAGGUGAAAUUCGUAGAUAUUCGCAAGAACACCAGUGGCGAAGGCGGCUCACUGGCCCGAUACUGACGCUGAGGUGCGAAGGCGUGGGGAGCAAACAGGAUUAGAUACCCCAGUAGUCCCUGUCUCUUAUAC
RNAcentral lists this ribosomal RNA (303 nucleotides) under uncultured bacterium. RNAcentral describes it as "partial 16S ribosomal RNA". It matches the Rfam family "Bacterial small subunit ribosomal RNA", at positions 507 to 807 of the family's 1533-position model. The record is from RNAcentral.